GUACGGCUGAGGAGUCCCACAAUAGGACGAGACGGCCGUCCAGUGC
This 46-nucleotide non-coding RNA is filed under the name Schistosoma margrebowiei. Lineage: Eukaryota; Metazoa; Platyhelminthes; Trematoda; Strigeidida; Schistosomatidae. The record is from RNAcentral.